GUAGGUGGCAAGCGUUGUCCGGAAUUAUUGGGCGUAAAAGCGCGCGCAGGCGGUUCUUUAAGUCUGAUGUGAAAGCCCACGGCUCAACCGUGGAGGGUCAUUGGAAACUGGAGAACUUGAGUACAGAAGAGGAAAGCGGAAUUCCACGUGUAGCGGUGAAAUGCGUAGAGAGGUGGAGGAACACCAGUGGCGAAGGCGGCUUUCUGGUCUGUAACUGACGCUGAGGCACGAAAGCGUGGGGAGCAAACAGGAUUAGAUACCCUGGUAGUCCACGCCGUAAACGAUGAGUGCUAAGUGUUAGGGGGUUUUCCGCCCCCCUUAGUGCUGCAGCUAACGCAUUAAGCACUCCGCCCUGGGAGUACGGCCGCAAGGCUG
RNAcentral lists this ribosomal RNA (375 nucleotides) under uncultured organism. RNAcentral describes it as "partial 16S ribosomal RNA". It matches the Rfam family "Bacterial small subunit ribosomal RNA", at positions 527 to 896 of the family's 1533-position model. The record is from RNAcentral.